AGACCUGACUGGUGCCUUACUGGCCUCAGCUCCGCCAUUGCAUGUUCAUCCGAACUAGGACCCAGGCCUACUUGGAGAAGGGUUUGGGUGCGGAUUUCUACAAACUGCCAAGGGCUACAGCAAUGAGAACUCUCUCAGCGACCUGCUUCAGCAUGAAGGACUGCACUUAAAGGGAUGCAUACUAUUCCAGCUCAAGCAACAGAUACUGAAGUGCAGAUCACUGUCCUUUGUUGAAAAGGAUCAGCAGUUUGUCAACAUAGGUAACACGCCAGAGCAAGCCUUGGGAUGCAACUCUGAAAACAGGUUAGGCCCUCUUUUCCCCAAGCCCUGCAAUAAAA
Molecule: long non-coding RNA, 338 nt
Organism: Bos taurus (domestic cattle)
Lineage: Eukaryota; Metazoa; Chordata; Mammalia; Artiodactyla; Bovidae
Source: Ensembl